ACUCAAAUGAAUAGACGGGAGCCCGCACAAGCGGUGGAUUAUGUGGUUUAAUUCGAAGCAACGCGCAGAACCUUACCUGGGUUUGACAUCCUUUGACAACCUAAGAGAUUAGGCUUUCGUAGCAAUACGACAAAGAGACAGGUGCUGCAUGGCUGUCGUCAGCUCGUGUGGUGGCAUGUCGGGUUAAGUCCCUCAACGAGCGCAACCCCUGUUUUUAGUUGCCAGCAUUCAGUUGGGCACUCUAGAAAGACUGCCGUGGUUAACACGGAGGAAGGCGGGGAUGACGUCAAGUCCUCAUGGCCCUUACACCCAGGGCGACACACGUAAUACAAUGGUCGGUACAGAGGGAUGCAAGACGGUGACGUUAAGCAAAUCUCAAAAAGCCGAUCUCAGUUCGGAUUGGAGUCUGCAACUCGACUCCAUGAAGGCGGAAUCGCUAGUAAUCGCGGAUCAGCACGCCGCGGUGAAUACGUUCCCGGGCUUUGUACACACCGCCCGU
RNAcentral lists this ribosomal RNA (499 nucleotides) under uncultured bacterium. Its description in RNAcentral is "partial 16S ribosomal RNA". It matches the Rfam family "Bacterial small subunit ribosomal RNA", at positions 899 to 1397 of the family's 1533-position model. The record is from RNAcentral.